Molecule: long non-coding RNA, 250 nt
Filed under: Ananas comosus (pineapple)
Lineage: Eukaryota; Viridiplantae; Streptophyta; Magnoliopsida; Poales; Bromeliaceae
Description: long non-coding RNA (ACOM_LNC028253)
Source: RNAcentral
AUAAUAUCUGAACUUUUUAAGAGGGGAAUUCAAAAUUUGAAUUUAAAUUAAAAUUAAUUUUUUUAUAUAUAUAAAGCUUAUAUAUAUGUAUUGAUGGUUACGUGGAGACGGAGAGAUGAUGGAUUUGUCGCAAAUCUGCGAUCGAAUCGGGUGAAAAAAAAAUUGUGGUUUUCAUGGUUCGGUAAUGCCGGAAGCGCUGGUGCAGUCCGUUAGCAAAUCUGAUGGACGGAUCUUUUGCGAUCGCACAAUU